GUUGAAAUAAAUCAUGGACUUAAAUCAGUGCAACAGGACGCUAAAAUAACAUUAGAGCAUAUGUCUGUUAAGAUAUAGGUAAAAUUACCUUCAAGCACCACACCAUGAAUGUGAGUAAGGGACACUAGAGGAAGAUGAUCAGUGUUAUGUUCCAGCUGCUUUAGUCUCCUAGAAAUAAUUCCAGAUGUCCAUUGUUAUGUGCUGUGGUUAUGAUAAUAAAUUUAUAUAAUGUGUUAUAAACUGCUUAUUUUCCAAUGUAAUUGUUUUAAAAUAUUCUUUCUUUUGUAACAGAUUUUCUUUUAUUAUUAAAACACCAGGAAUAAGGAGGUCAAAAGAGAAGAAAGACUUGCUAAGAUUACAGCUCAAACAAAUUAAAGAACAUUCACGAGCUCUAUUAGAAGAUAGAAAGAAGGAAAAAGAAGAGAAACGGCGUCGAAGGGAAGCAAAUUUGAAGAGACAGGAAGAAAAUAGGCUGAAAUCAGAAGUUGUUCAAGUGAUAAAAAACACUUCAAAAAUCAAGAGAAUGAAGAAAAAGCAACUGCGCCAAAUUGAGAAGCGUGAUACUACAACAUUAAUCAAGAGAUGUUGAACAUAAUACACAAAUUUAAUUUCUAAAAAGGAAUUGGUGUUGUACUGAGCAGUGUAUUUAUGGUAUACAAAGUUUAACAUAAUAUUUUAUAAAUAAAAUGAAUAUGUAACAGC
Molecule: long non-coding RNA, 702 nt
Organism: Cryptotermes secundus
Lineage: Eukaryota; Metazoa; Arthropoda; Insecta; Blattodea; Kalotermitidae
Exons: 2
Source: RefSeq, a predicted model, not a curated record